This 70-nucleotide transfer RNA is filed under the name Duncaniella sp. RNAcentral describes it as "tRNA-Leu". It matches the Rfam family "tRNA". From Rfam's summary of the family: Transfer RNA (tRNA) molecules are approximately 80 nucleotides in length. The record is from RNAcentral. Lineage: Bacteria; Pseudomonadati; Bacteroidota; Bacteroidia; Bacteroidales; Muribaculaceae.
AACGGUAUAGCUCAGCAGGUAGAGCGUCAGGUAACACUGAAGGUCGCAGGUUCGAGUCCUGCUGCCGUUC